This 960-nucleotide ribosomal RNA is filed under the name Triticum aestivum (bread wheat). RNAcentral's name for it is "partial small subunit ribosomal RNA". Lineage: Eukaryota; Viridiplantae; Streptophyta; Magnoliopsida; Poales; Poaceae. The record is from RNAcentral.
AUGCAGAAGUUCAAGACCUUGGCCAAGGCCUUGACCGGCAAGACCGUCACCGCCGGGAGGAACUCUUCUGGGCGAAUCACUUCUUUUCACCGAGGGGGUGGAUCCAAGCGAUCGCUUAGGGACAUUGACCUCAAAAGGAACACUUGCUCGGUUGGCAUUGUGGAAAGGAUUGAGUAUGACCCUAACCGUUCUUCUCGGAUCGCUCUUCUCCGAUGGAUCGAAGGGGUACCACAGAAGGAUCCAGCAUACAAGGCCGAGCGUGCACCUGUCAAUUACAUAAUAGCCAGCCAUCAAAUGGAACCGGGCAGCAUGGUGGUGAACAGCGACUCCUCCAAACCCUCCACGACCGGCUCCUUGAUGCGGCCUGCCCACAAUGCCAAUUCCAUCCUUCGGUUCCAAGAGCUGUUCCGCAAAGCCAGCCAAGAAGGCGAAGAGGGCACUGAUGAUCAAGCAAAGGAUGCGGCGGUUCCUGCAGCAGCACCGCUCAUGCCAGCCGAUCUACUGGACCUCAAUUCCAAGGUGGGAAACUGCAUGCCGUUGUCCGACAUCCGCAUGGGAACAUGGGUGCACAGCAUCGAACUGCGUCAUGGCCAGGGGGCGAAGCUCGUCCGGGCCGCUGGAGCCUACGCCAAGGUGGUCAAGGAGUCGGCCACGCAGUGCCUUGUGCGGCUGCCGUCGGGCGUCGAGAAGCUGAUCGACUCCCGGUGCCGAGCCACCAUCGGCAUCGUCUCCAACCCCACCCAUGGUGCACGGAAGCUGAGGAAGGCGGGGCACAGCCGGUGGCUGGGCAGGCGCCCGGUUGUCCGUGGUGUCGCGAUGAACCCGGUGGAUCAUCCCCAUGGAGGAGGCGAGGGGCGCACCAAGGGCGGCAGGCCGUCGGUGUCGCCCUGGGGGAAGCCCACCAAGGCUGGGUAUCGGACCGUGCCGAAGAAGCCAAAGGCUCAGCUGUCCCGGGACUGA